GAUGAACGCUGGCGGCGUGCCUAAUACAUGCAAGUCGAGCGAACAGACGAGGAGCUUGCUCCUCUGACGUUAGCGGCGGACGGGUGAGUAACACGUGGAUAACCUACCUAUAAGACUGGGAUAACUUCGGGAAACCGGAGCUAAUACCGGAUAAUAUAUUGAACCGCAUGGUUCAAUAGUGAAAGACGGUUUUGCUGUCACUUAUAGAUGGAUCCGCGCCGCAUUAGCUAGUUGGUAAGGUAACGGCUUACCAAGGCAACGAUGCGUAGCCGACCUGAGAGGGUGAUCGGCCACACUGGAACUGAGACACGGUCCAGACUCCUACGGGAGGCAGCAGUAGGGAAUCUUCCGCAAUGGGCGAAAGCUUGACGGAGCAACGCCGCGUGAGUGGUGAAGGUCUUCGGAUCGUAAAACUCUGUUAUUAGGGAAGAACAAAUGUGUAAGUAACUAUGCACGUCUUGACGGUACCUAAUCAGAAAGCCACGGCUAACUACGU
RNAcentral lists this ribosomal RNA (496 nucleotides) under uncultured bacterium. RNAcentral describes it as "partial 16S ribosomal RNA". It matches the Rfam family "Bacterial small subunit ribosomal RNA", at positions 28 to 506 of the family's 1533-position model. The record is from RNAcentral.